This is a small nuclear RNA of Hemibagrus wyckioides, 165 nucleotides long. RefSeq annotates it as U1 spliceosomal RNA. The transcript has a single exon. Lineage: Eukaryota; Metazoa; Chordata; Actinopteri; Siluriformes; Bagridae. The record is from RefSeq and is a predicted model, not a curated record.
CUCCUGACCUGGCAGGGGCAUUAAUAUGAUCAAGGAGGUGGUUUGCCCAAAGCAAGGUUCAGCCAUUGCGCUCAGGCUGUGCUGACCUUUGAGAAUUCCCCAAAUGUAGGAAUCCCGACUACGUAGUUUCUGGGGCAGUGGUGGCUCAAGUGGUUAAGCCUCUGG